AGAGUUUGAUCCUGGCUCAGGACGAACGCUGGCGGUGUGCUUCACACAUGCAAGUCGAACGAGGUAGCAAUACCUAGUGGCGGACGGGUGAGUAACGCGUGGGAAUCUGCCUUAAGAUGGGGGAUAGCUAACCGAAAGGUUAAUUAAUACCGCAUAAGCCUAUAUUUCGACAGUUUUAUAGGUAAAAAGAGUAAUCUGUC
This 200-nucleotide ribosomal RNA is filed under the name uncultured bacterium. RNAcentral describes it as "partial 16S ribosomal RNA". It matches the Rfam family "Bacterial small subunit ribosomal RNA", at positions 8 to 219 of the family's 1533-position model. The record is from RNAcentral.